This 484-nucleotide ribosomal RNA is filed under the name uncultured bacterium. Its description in RNAcentral is "partial 16S ribosomal RNA". It matches the Rfam family "Bacterial small subunit ribosomal RNA", at positions 30 to 507 of the family's 1533-position model. The record is from RNAcentral.
AUUGAACGCUGGCGGCAGGCCUAACACAUGCAAGUCGAGCGGAUGAAGGGAGCUUGCUCCUGGAUUCAGCGGCGGACGGGUGAGUAAUGCCCAGGAAUCUGCCUGGUAGUGGGGGAUAACGUCCGGAAACGGGCGCUAAUACCGCAUACGUCCUGAGGGAGAAAGUGGGGGAUCUUCGGACCUCACGCUAUCAGAUGAGCCUAGGUCGGAUUAGCUAGUUGGUGGGGUAAAGGCCUACCAGGGCGACGAUCCGUAACUGGUCUGAGAGGAUGAUCAGUCACACUGGAACUGAGACACGGUCCAGACUCCUACGGGAGGCAGCAGUGGGGAAUAUUGGACAAUGGGCGAAAGCCUGAUCCAGCCAUGCCGCGUGUGUGAAGAAGGUCUUCGGAUUGUAAAGCACUUUAAGUUGGGAGGAAGGGCAGUAAGUUAAUACCUUGCUGUUUUGACGUUACCAACAGAAUAAGCACCGGCUAACUUCGUG